RNAcentral lists this long non-coding RNA (238 nucleotides) under Capsicum annuum. Its description in RNAcentral is "long non-coding RNA (CANN_LNC017857)". Lineage: Eukaryota; Viridiplantae; Streptophyta; Magnoliopsida; Solanales; Solanaceae. The record is from RNAcentral.
AUAUUUGUUGAAUGUCUUGUUUAUCGUAUUGGGAAAGUGUAUUUAUUUAACCGGGGAAUGCCCCGAGGUAAUUUGUAUUUACUCACCGGGGAAUGCCCCGAGGAAUCUUGUACGCAAAGGAUGUUCGUGAUCAAGACCCGAGGUAUCGAGUAAAGCAUGAUUUAGGACUAGUGUAGGUUAUUUCAGUAUUUUUAUUUCGGGUUGUAAUAAUUGGACUGGACUUUACAUUUUUGUUUUG